AUGCCGUUCGUGUCCCUGUCACCCUCGGAGCGGCAGCUCCCGCCGACCUCCAGGAGGAGGCGGCGCUGGCGGCAGUUCCUGCCGCAGCUCCCGCCGACCUCGAGGAGGAGGUCGCACCUGCUGCAGCUCCUGCGGACCUCCAGGAGGAGGUCGCGCCAUCUGCAGCUCCUGCGGACCUCCAGGAGGAGGUCGCGCCUGUUGCAGCUCCAGCUGCGGCUCCUGCUGACCUCCAGGAGGAGGUCGCGCCUGCCGCAGUUCCUGCCGACCUCCAGGAGAAGGUCGCGCCUGCUGCAGCUCCUGCUGACCUCCAGGAGGCGGUCGCGCCUGUUGCAGCUCCAGCUGCGGCUCCUGCCGACCUCCAGGAGGAGGUCGCGCCUGCCGCAGUUCCUGCCGACCUCCAGGAGGAGGUCGCGCCUGCUGCAGCUCCUGCUGACCUCCAGGAGGCGGUCGCGCCUGUUGCAGCUCCCGCUGCGGUUCCUGUCGAACCCCAGGAGGGGGUCGUUCCUGUCGCAACCCCCGCCGCAGUUCCUGUCGACCUCCAGGAGGGGGUCGUUCCUGUCGCAGCUUCCGCUGCAAUUCCUGCUGACCUCCAGAAGGAGGUUGUUCCUGUCGCAGCUUCCGCUGCAGUUCCUGCUGACCUCCAGGAGGAGGUUGUUCCUGUCGCAGCUUCCGCUGCAGUUCCUGCUGACCUCCAGGGGGAGGCUGUUCCUGUCGCUGCUGCAGCUGCAGUUCCUGUCGACCUCCAGGAGGGGGUCGUUCCUGUCGCAGCUCCAGCUGUGGUUCCUGUCGACCUCCAGGAGGGGGUCGUUCCUGCUCGGUCCCGGCCGCACCAGCAUCGGUUCCUGGUGGCUCGGCUCCGGCCGCAUCUGCAUCGGUUCCUGGCGGCUCGGCUCCGGCCGCAUCUGCAUCGGUUCCUGGCGGCUCGGUUCCGGCCGCAUCUGCUUCGGUUCCUGGUGGUCCAGCGCUGACCGCAUCUGCAUCGGUUCCUGGUGGUCCGGCGCUGACCGCAUCUGCAUCGGUUCCUGGUGGUCCGGCGCUGACCGCAUCUGCAUCGGUUCCUGGUGGUCUGGCGCUGACCACGUCUCCACGUCUGUUCUGCUCCUUGUUGUCGGCAUUCCGCCGGCUGGUACCUCGUCUGCCUGA
Molecule: long non-coding RNA, 1143 nt
Filed under: Betta splendens (Siamese fighting fish)
Lineage: Eukaryota; Metazoa; Chordata; Actinopteri; Anabantiformes; Osphronemidae
Description: lncRNA (ENSBSLG00000000495.1)
Source: RNAcentral